Molecule: unclassified non-coding RNA, 1079 nt
Filed under: Hevea brasiliensis (rubber tree)
Lineage: Eukaryota; Viridiplantae; Streptophyta; Magnoliopsida; Malpighiales; Euphorbiaceae
Source: RNAcentral
AUAAAGGGACAAAGCCCGGAGAAGUUUCUGGACUCUCUCACACAGCCGCUUCGUCUAUAAAAUAACAAAAACCAGUCCGACUGUUAUUGACAGGAGCUCAAUUGUGCAGAUAAAAAUGGCUGAUGAUAUCUUUGGGUUCCGGUAUCCUUUUAGGCGACUCUUGUGGAGCCCUUCGGUGUUCCGCGAAUGGUCUGGAUCUCCACCUCCCAUGGACUGGGUUGAAACUUCUUCCGCUCAUAUCUUCAAACUCAAUGUUCCUGGUACCACUUUUCCCUCUCUGUUGGCAAGAUAAUGGAUUUUUUCGAAUUCAGCAGUAAUUGGAGUUGAAUUUAAUAGCUUUGCAAUGGGUUCCAUCUGACUUUGAACUUCUUGUGUUGAUUUCUUAUUUUAUUCCGAAUUAAAAGCUUUGCUGACCAAUUAUAUGUUAUGGGUUUUAUCCGUUAUUUGAUUCUUUCUACUUUCUAAUAGAACUUUCAAAAUUUUUUGCUCGAUUAGCUUCUUUGAUCCAUUAUAUUAAUGAAUUUUGUUUGUCAACUAAAGUCUUGGCUUUUUAAGAGUUGAAUUUUAAUGGGAUUUCCUAUGUUGAGAAAAAUUGUUGAAGCAAAUUCUUUUUUUGUGAACAGGAUACAACAAAGAGGAAAUCAAGGUUCAGGUGGAAGAAGGAAAUAUUUUGCACGUAAGGGCAGAGGUGGGUAAAGAGGAAGGCCAUGGAAAUGACACAGUUUGGCAUCUUGCAGAGAGAGGGACAGGAAGGAGAAGCUUUUCUCGAGAAAUUGAAUUGUCAGAAAAUGCAAAGGUGGAUCAAAUUAAAGCUCUGGUGGAGAAUGGUGUACUCACCAUUGUUGUGCCCAAGGAUACAAGUCCAAAGCCAUCUAAAGUGAGAAAUAUUAACAUCACUAGCAAGCUCUGAGAAGAAAAUCUGAUGUUCCAUUUGCACUGAAGUUAGCUGAGAAUAAUUGCUCAAGAAAAAAUAAAAGCUGAAAAUAAUGUUGGCGUUAUAAACCGUUGUUCCUUUAUUUUGCAUACUUGUCAAUAAAAUUUGCCUUGUGAUGAACAUUUCCCAAAGGCCAUAUAUGGAU